GAGUUUGAUCGUGGCUCAGAUUGAACGCUGGCGGCAUGCUUUACACAUGCAAGUCGAACGGCAGCACAGGGAGCUUGCUCCUGGGUGGCGAGUGGCGCACGGGUGAGUAAUACAUCGGAACGUGUCCUAUCGUGGGGGAUAACUGAGCGAAAGCUCGGCUAAUACCGCAUAAGACCUGAGGGUGAAAGUGGGGGAUCGAAAGACCUCAUGCGAUUGGAGCGGCCGAUGCCCCGAUUAGCUAGUUGGUGAGGUAAAGGCUCACCAAGGCGACGAUCGGUAGCUGGUCUGAGAGGACGACCAGCCACACUGGGACUGAGACACGGCCCAGACUCCUACGGGAGGCAGCAGUGGGGAAUUUUGGACAAUGGGGGCAACCCUGAUCCAGCCAUGCCGCGUGCAGGAUGAAGGUCUUCGGAUUGUAAACUGCUUUUGUC
Molecule: ribosomal RNA, 434 nt
Filed under: uncultured bacterium
Lineage: Bacteria
Description: bacterial SSU rRNA
Rfam family: Bacterial small subunit ribosomal RNA
Source: RNAcentral